This 149-nucleotide non-coding RNA is filed under the name Pan troglodytes (chimpanzee). The record is from Rfam by way of RNAcentral. Lineage: Eukaryota; Metazoa; Chordata; Mammalia; Primates; Hominidae.
GCCGGGUGUGAUGGCACACACCUGUAAUCCCAGCUACUAAGGGGGGCUGAGGCAGGAGAAUUGCUUGAAUCUGGGAGGCAGGGGUUGCAGUGAGCCAAGAUUGCUCCACUGCACUCCAGCCUGGGUGACAGAGUGAGACCCUGUCUCAA